This 376-nucleotide ribosomal RNA is filed under the name uncultured bacterium. Its description in RNAcentral is "bacterial SSU rRNA". It matches the Rfam family "Bacterial small subunit ribosomal RNA", at positions 524 to 898 of the family's 1533-position model. The record is from RNAcentral.
AACGUAGGAGGCGAGCGUUAUCCGGAUUUACUGGGCGUAAAGCGCGUGUAGGCGGCGUAGAAAGUUGGAUGUGAAAGCUCCUGGCUUAACUGGGAGAGGUCGUUCAAAACUUCUAUGCUAGAGUUUGGUAGAGGAAAAUGGAAUUCCGGGAGUAGUGGUGAAAUGCGUAGAUAUCCGGAGGAACACCAGUGGCGAAAGCGAUUUUCUGGACCAAUACUGACGCUCAGACGCGAAAGCUAGGGUAGCAAACGGGAUUAGAGACCCCGGUAGUCCUAGCCGUAAACGAUGUAGACUUGGCGUUGGGUGGGUAAAACUGCUCAGUGCCGAAGCAAACGCGAUAAGUCUACCGCCUGGGGACUACGGCCGCAAGGUUAAA